RNAcentral lists this ribosomal RNA (1242 nucleotides) under metagenome. RNAcentral describes it as "bacterial LSU rRNA". It matches the Rfam family "Bacterial large subunit ribosomal RNA", at positions 1564 to 2817 of the family's 2925-position model. The record is from RNAcentral.
UGAUGACGAGACGCUAAGGCGUUGAAGUGGUGUAUGUCAGGCUUCCAAGAAAAGCUCGCAAUGUCAUAGAUAAAAAUGCCUGUACCAUAACCGACACAGGUGGGUAGGUAGAGUAUACUAAGGGGCGCGAGAUAACUCUCUCUAAGGAACUCGGCAAAAUGACUCCGUAACUUCGGGAGAAGGAGUGCCUUAUUUAUAAGGUUGCAAUAACAAGAUCCAAGCAACUGUUUAUCAAAAACACAGGUCUCCGCUAAGUCGUAAGACGAAGUAUGGGGGCUGACGCCUGCCCAGUGCCAGAAGGUUAAAGAAGUUGGUUAGUGUAAGCGAAGCUGAUAACUGAAGCCCUGGUGAACGGCGGCCGUAACGAUAACGGUCCUAAGGUAGCGAAAUUCCUUGUCGGGUAAGUUCCGACCCGCACGAAAGGCGUAAUGAUUUGGAUACUGUCUCGGAGAGAGGCUCGGUGAAAUAGACUUGUCUGUGAAGAUGCGGACUACCUGCACCAGGACAGAAAGACCCUAUGAAGCUUUACUGUAACUUGAAAUUGGAAUUGGACUUUGCUUGCGCAGUAUAGGUGGGAAGCGUUGAAGAUACUCUUGCGGGACUAUUGGAGCUAUCAGUGAGAUACCACUCUUGUAAUGUUAGAUUUCUAACUUUGAACCAUAAUCUGGUCAAAGAACAGUUUCAGGCGGGCAGUUUGACUGGGGCGGUCGCCUCCUAAAUGGUAACGGAGGCGUACAAAGGUUUCCUCUGAACGGAUAGAAAUCGUAUCUAGAGUGUAAAGGCAUAAGGAAGCUUGACUGUGAGACCUACAAGUCGAGCAGGGACGAAAGUCGGUCUUAGUGAUCUGACGGUACUGAGUGGAAAGGCCGUCACUCAACGGAUAAAAGUUACUCUAGGAUAACAGGCUGAUCUCCCCCAAGAGUUCACAUCGACGGGGAGGUUUGGCACCUCGAUGUCGGCUCAUCGCAUCCUGGGGCGGUAGUACGUCCCAAGGGUUGGGCUGUUCGCCCAUGAAAGCGGUACGCGAGCUGGGUUCAGAACGUCGUGAGACAGUUCGGUCCAUAUCCGGUGUAGGCGUUAGAAUAUUGAGAGGAGCCUUCUUUAGUACGAGAGGACCGAGAAGGACACACCGCUGGUGUACCAGUUAUCGUGCCAACGGUAAACGCUGGGUAGCUAUGUGUGGAGAGGAUAACCGCUGAAAGCAUCUAAGUGGGAAGCCCACCUCAAGAUGAGUAUUCUCAU